Corapipo altera (White-ruffed manakin) is the source of this 1479-nucleotide long non-coding RNA. RefSeq lists it as uncharacterized. The transcript is spliced from 2 exons. NCBI's taxonomy places the organism in Eukaryota, Metazoa, Chordata, Aves, Passeriformes, Pipridae. The record is from RefSeq and is a predicted model, not a curated record.
CCCAGAGCCAUGUCCUGGGGGAAUCUGGUCUGGCCUCACAUGGCCAGCAGUGACCACCCCAGGGCGAUGUUCACUGUUAAACUGGAGGUGCCUGUGCCAGGAGAAGCCUGAGGGAAGACUCUGUUCCUGGGAGAGGCUGAGGCUCCCAGGAGUGUCUGGAGGGGCUGUCCUCGAGGGGCCAGGGUGGUGUUAGGACAGCUUGGGCUAUGCCUGGGAGCUGGGACCUGUCACUGGUACCUUGUGUGGAGGAGCCCCUCAGCCUGGUGAGGGCUCAGGCCAGGACUCACCACGUUCCCAUUCCCGGCGGAACAGGCUCUGCGUGAGGCGGGAUGCUGGAGGACACACCGGGGCCCACUUGACCAACACUUUGAGGAGCAUUUCAAGUGCUUUUCCUAAAGCUGAAUUCUCUAUAAAGGAGAAGUGACUAGAAACCCUGAACUGAGUCCCAGGUCUCGCUUAACUUUGUAAGGCACAGUGACACACUGAGGCUGCUCCACUUAAGGUAUGGUAUGAACCAGGAGCUGUGGAAUGAGUGUUCACAUGGAUCAUCCUGCCUGUGGAAUGAGUGUUCACAUGGAUCAUCCUGCUGCAGCUAUUCCCGAGCCAGCAGCUGCUGUGUAAGCAGAGCCUAAAAGACAAUCCUUGCCCCAGUGACUGUGUGGCAGAUAAGACAGACAAUGGGCACAAGGAAGGCCCCUGGCUAUCAGGGAAGGAUGGAUACUGUUCAACCAGCUGGGAACAAAGAAACCUGGGCUGCUCCAGGCCCUGCAGGACUGAACCAGAGUGUCCUUCCCUGCCUGCUGGUUCCAGGAACGUGACACUUUGGGAACUGUUUGUGUCAGGACUCCCUGCUUUGACACCUUUGAUUUCUGAGACUACCUCAUUUCAGGAAACCCCAGAGCUCCUCUCCACAAGGAUUUCCCCAUCCAGCAGCUCUCAUGUCUUCACUGGAUACUGAAAUGAGAUGGAAGGGCUUGAAUGUUUCCUUGGCAAGAUGUGUGGAUGGAAUUAGUUUAAUCUGUUCUGAUUCUGGUUCUACCAAGUCAACUGGACCCAAUCACCUCCUCUGCUAACAGGCUGCAGAGCAACAAUCUACUGGAAUAUUCUUUGUGCUGAGAACAGGAAGAUCUGGAAUGAGGGUUUGUAACUUUUUUGGAUGAGUUUCUAUGUUACAAUUUUUACCUUUAAUAUCACCACUUUAAAUAAGAAUAAUUAUUUGUUGAAAUAAACACAUUUUUUGCCCUGAAAUACUGGAAUAUGCCUCCACAGCUUCUUCCUGCCUCAGCUCUGCCACUGUGAAGAGAACCCACUUGUGGAUUUCAAAGCCAGAAGGACGAGCUGGAACCUCUAACAGAGGAUGUGCACAGAGCAAUUCCUGCAGUUCCUCCUGCAGCCAGGGCCCUGAUGAGUGGAUCUUUUCCUUACCUGCUCUAGGAACUCCUGUAUAAAUGUCUGACAAGCUCUUCCAGGGCUUUAUAA